This 665-nucleotide long non-coding RNA is filed under the name Homo sapiens (human). RNAcentral describes it as "HSALNT0033794". Lineage: Eukaryota; Metazoa; Chordata; Mammalia; Primates; Hominidae. The record is from RNAcentral.
GCAGAGUGGAGACGUGCUGGAAUUCAGAGUUCACCACAGCGUGUCAAGGGGAAGGGAAGUUGGGAACAGCAUGUGUGAUCAGGACCUAAGGACUUCUGCCCCAGUUCAUUCAAGGGCACAGCUGAGUGCAGUUUGAAAAGGCAGAAAGAGCUGGGCACAGGUAACUGAGCAACAAUGAAUGGUCAAAUUCAUGAGCAAAAUUAGAUUUCCCCAGGAAGCCUGAUGUCUUGUUUCUGGGGAUCUAAUUCAGAAAAAGGGAGAGAAAACGGCCUCCUUGGUGUGCCCCAGAGGACCUGAUGGAGCUAACAGUGGGGCUGGGGCCGGAAGCGGGAUGCAGACCUGGGCCCCAACAAGGAUGAUGCUGGUAUGACUCAGUCUGCUGAGGUCAGGUCCUGGCAAGACAGGUUCCGGUGAGUGAAUGAACCGAUGGCAGUAGUAGAUUGCUUUAUGUAAGAAAAUGCAGGCAGGAAAAAGAUUUAAGAGGUGGUGGAAGAGGGUAGGAUUUGAGCAGCGGCUGGAAGGAGAAAGAGAUUCUAAGGAUAAUUUUAAGGAAGUACUGCUGUGUUCCAAGCCCUGUAGUGAAAUCCCUCCUUGGCAUCCUCAAUUAGCCACCAACAAAUGCCAAGGCUAUUGAGAAGACUCAGCCCAUUGGAGGCAUAGACAUG